RNAcentral lists this ribosomal RNA (567 nucleotides) under uncultured archaeon. RNAcentral describes it as "bacterial SSU rRNA". It matches the Rfam family "Archaeal small subunit ribosomal RNA", at positions 326 to 893 of the family's 1478-position model. The record is from RNAcentral.
CGGGGUGCAGCAGGCGCGAAAACUUUACAAUGCCGGCAACGGCGAUAAGGGAACCUCGAGUGCCAGGUUACAAAUCUGGCUGUCGUGAUGCCUAAAAAGCAUUGCAUAGCAAGGGCCGGGCAAGACCGGUGCCAGCCGCCGCGGUAACACCGGCGGCUCGAGUGGUAACCGUUAUUAUUGGGUCUAAAGGGUCUGUAGCCGGCCGGGUAAGUCUCUUGGGAAAUCUGGCAGCUUAACUGUCAGGCUUUCAGGAGAUACUGCCUGGCUCGAGGCCGGGAGAGGUGAGAGGUACUUCAGGGGUAGGGGUGAAAUCUUGUAAUCCUUGAAGGACCACCAGUGGCGAAGGCGUCUCACCAGAACGGACCUGACGGCAAGGGACGAAAGCUAGGGGCACGAACCGGAUUAGAUACCCGGGUAGUCCUAGCCGUAAACGAUACUCGCUAGGUGUCGGCCACGGUGCGACCGUGGUCGGUGCCGUAGGGAAGCCGUGAAGCGAGCCACCUGGGAAGUACGGCCGCAAGGCUGAAACUUAAAGGAAUUGGCGGGGGAGCACAAGGGCGAAUNGCG